ACAAAAAAAACUUCUGAACAUCCAAAUAUUCCAAAUCGGCUACAAGAUCCUGGUACAUCAGAGAAACGUGCUAUAAGAAAAAGAUUGGACAAUGAAGAAGAUAGCGACUCUCCUUGGGAUUCAGAGGAAUAUAUAUCGGACCCAGAUGUGGAAAAAAAGCACAUUGUUAUUUUACCUGACUACAGUACUAGGACGCAAAAAACUUCUGAACAUCCAAAUAUUCCAAAUCGGCUACAAGAUCCUGGUACAUCAGAGGAACGUGCUAUAAGAAAAAGUGAGUUAUUGUGUUGACACAGCUCCUGAUUUCAUCAAUUUAGGACAUCCACAAGGAAUAAGUUUCUAGAGAUGCUCAUUGGCUACUGUUCUGUAGCAUAGAGUCUUCCAGAGUAGCCCAGGGCUUCAGAAUUGCAGCAUUUUGCCCAUGAUACCACAAUCAAAAUAUCAGACAUGGAAACGGAACCCAGGGCUUCCUUAAUUCAAACUGGCCUUCUAUGCACUGGCCAGUGCUAUACCUUUAGUUGUAGAACCUAAUGCAAAACAUUCUUUCUAAAAAUGCCAUUAUAAACGUUCAAAUAUUAAGGGUAUAUUUGAAAUAAAAUAUUCCAUAUU
Long non-coding RNA from Sarcophilus harrisii (Tasmanian devil), 609 nucleotides. RefSeq lists it as uncharacterized. The transcript has 3 exons. The record is from RefSeq and is a predicted model, not a curated record. NCBI's taxonomy places the organism in Eukaryota, Metazoa, Chordata, Mammalia, Dasyuromorphia, Dasyuridae.